This is a long non-coding RNA of Lolium perenne, 1293 nucleotides long. RefSeq lists it as uncharacterized. The record is from RefSeq and is a predicted model, not a curated record. NCBI's taxonomy places the organism in Eukaryota, Viridiplantae, Streptophyta, Magnoliopsida, Poales, Poaceae.
AAAAAAUUUAGAGCCCACCCGCCAUCAGAUGCACACGACACGCAAGUUCGCGCCGAAAUUUUUCAUCCCGGCGCCACACUGGAAACUUCGCGCGACAUUUUUCAUCUACAGAUAAGAUUAGAGACAGCCCUAGAAAAUUUCCCCAUUCUAUCCUCUUCUCCACGCACCGCCGCCGCCCUCCUCCCACUUCCUCACCAUUGUCGCCGCCCUCCUGUGCCGCCAGCCUCCCUCUCCUUCGACCUCCAGAUCCAGAUGCGGCCGCUGGCCACCGGAUCCAUCCACGACCGUGCGCAACCAGAUCCAAUCGCGCCGGCCGCCUAGUUCCCAUCUACGUCAGCGAGCUCCGCCCAGCUCCCUUCUCCGAAAUCCACCGCCCAACUCCUCUCCCUUUUGUCCAGAAUAAGUGUUUCAGCUUCCGUAUUAUCUUUUUGUGAGGAAGUUUUCUAUUGCUAUUGAUAUAUCAUUACAUAUGCAGAUACGUGAAAUCACUCGGGAGGUAGCAGCAGCAGUUUCAUUUUGGUGUGGUAAGUAUCAGCCAUGGUCGUUGGGGAAAUUAUUACUCAUAAAUGUGACAAAAUGAGGGCCUUUUGCAUUUUUAGUGCAUUGUUUUAUUUAGUUUUCACCAUGCAAGAAACAGCUUUGUUCUAUCUUGUAGAUUGUAGAUUUAGGUGCUACUAUAGGUGCGUUAUUAGCAUGCCAUUGGGAGACUCAAUAGUGUCAUGGCUAUAUAGUUUGCAUAGUUGUUAGGUACCUGAUCUACUUUCAAAUUACCAUAUCUUUCUCAUGUUAAUUAUUUGCUUCCAUGUGUAACUGAAAUGUUGUAGGCCUGUAACUAAGUUUCAAAAAACAAGUUUUGUAGGCCUCGUCAGAAAAGCAACGAAUAAUCUUAUAAAGCUGGUGCAGAUGAUGUGUUCUCAAAAAGACUGCUAAAUGUGAAGAAUGUCAAUAGCUUACUGGCCGGAGACAUCAUGAUGACAUAUGGUGGAAUGUCCAAGAAACCUGAGAAGGGGAACACAUAUCCAUCCCAUGUUAGCUUGGAUGCUGCUGCUAUGGACGAUCUCUUCGGCCAUGGUAACAUUGUAGGUAGAACAAUGGUGAGAGAAAUUGUGCUUCCGGAGGAGGAUCUCUUCAGUGUACCCGUAAUGAAUAUAUGUACCUGCACUUGGGCAAGUCUGUAUAUGCCAAUUAUCAUUGUUGGAACGUGUUGAUUGUUAUAAUCUUAUUUAUAGACUGAUUCUGAAUGUGUGUAUUUGAAUAUGAAUUGGAUCGUUAGCUAAAUAUGUACUGACUGAA